UGACCUCAGAUCAAGCGAGAUUACCCGCUGAAUUUAAGCAUAUUAAUAAGCGGAGGAAAAGAAACUAACUAGGAUUCCCUCAGUAAUGGCGAAUGAAGCGGGAAGAGCUCAAAUUUGAAAUCUCGGGGGAGGACCCUCGCGAAUUGUAGUUUCUAGAGGCAGCAUCGGACGGCGGCGCGGCCCAAGUCUCUUGGAAAGGAGCGUCAGGGAGGGUGACAACCCCGUGCCGGCUGCGCGGCGGCCGUCUGUACGAUGCGUCUUCAAAGAGUCGGGUUGCUUGGGAGUGCAGCUCUAAUUGGGUGGUAAAUUUCAUCUAAAGCUAAAUACGGACGAGAGACCGAUAGCGAACAAGUACUGUGAAGGAAAGAUGAAAAGCACUUUGAAAAGAGAGUGAAAAGGACCUGAAAUUGUUAGGAGGUAAGCGAUGUCCACCAGUGUGUGGCCGGUUCCGAAUCAGCCGUGGGGCCCGAACUGCGUGUGGUACUUGGCAGCGCAAGCGCCUGCCGCGCGUUCUACGGGAGGGGUCCGCGGUGCACUUUGGGGCCUGGCCGGGUCAGCGUGGGUUUCCGGUGCUGGAGAGCCCCCCGGGGAAGGUAGGUCCCGCGCGCCUUCGGGCGUGCGGGGCUGUUAUAGCCCGCGGGUGUUUGGCGACAGCGGCGGGGACCGAGGAAAUCGAAUCAAUCGAGUACGGCGCGCGCCACAACGGCGAGUGCGGCUGGGGGGCGGGGGGUUUGUGCGGGGCGGGGCAGCAAGCGGUGGGGGGGGGGUUCGGGG
Molecule: ribosomal RNA, 774 nt
Filed under: Ancyromonas sigmoides
Lineage: Eukaryota; Ancyromonadida; Ancyromonadidae
Description: partial large subunit ribosomal RNA
Rfam family: Eukaryotic large subunit ribosomal RNA
Source: RNAcentral